RNAcentral lists this ribosomal RNA (1279 nucleotides) under metagenome. RNAcentral describes it as "bacterial LSU rRNA". It matches the Rfam family "Bacterial large subunit ribosomal RNA", at positions 1665 to 2925 of the family's 2925-position model. The record is from RNAcentral.
GGGCAGGGUGAGAAUCCUCAGGCGCUUGAGAGAACUCGGGUGAAGGAACUAGGCAACAUAGCACCGUAACUUCGGGAGAAGGUGCACCCUCGAUCGUGGCACAUGCGUGCUACAGCGAUCGGGGGUCGCAGUGACCAGGCCGCUGCGACUGUUUAUCAAAAACACAGCACUCUGCAAACACGAAAGUGGACGUAUAGGGUGUGACGCCUGCCCGGUGCUGGAAGGUUAAUUGAUGGGGUCAGCCGCAAGGCGAAGCUCUUGAUCGAAGCCCCAGUAAACGGCGGCCGUAACGAUAACGGUCCUAAGGUAGCGAAAUUCCUUGUCGGGUAAGUUCCGACCUGCACGAAUGGCGUAACGACAGCGGCGCUGUCUCCACCCGAGACUCAGUGAAAUUGAAAUCGCUGUGAAGAUGCAGCGUUCCCGUGGCAAGACGGAAAGACCCCGUGAACCUUUACUAUAGCUUUACACUGAACGUUGAGUUCGUCUGUGUAGGAUAGGUGGGAGGCAUUGAAACCUGGUCGCUAGAUCAGGUGGAGCCAACCUUGAAAUACCACCCUGAUGUGCUUGACGUUCUAACCUCGGCCCGUAAUCCGGGUCAGGGACCGUGUAUGGUGGGUAGUUUGACUGGGGCGGUCUCCUCCCAAAGAGUAACGGAGGAGCUCGAAGGUACGCUCAGCGCGGUCGGACAUCGCGCACUGUGUGCAAAGGCAUAAGCGUGCUUGACUGCGAGAUCGACGGAUCAAGCAGGUACGAAAGUAGGACUUAGUGAUCCGGUGGUUCUGUAUGGAAGGGCCAUCGCUCAACGGAUAAAAGGUACUCCGGGGAUAACAGGCUGAUACCGCCCAAGAGUUCAUAUCGACGGCGGUGUUUGGCACCUCGAUGUCGGCUCAUCACAUCCUGGGGCUGUAGUCGGUCCCAAGGGUAUGGCUGUUCGCCAUUUAAAGUGGUACGCGAGUUGGGUUCAGAACGUCGUGAGACAGUUCGGUCCCUAUCUGCCAUGGGCGUUGAGAUUUGAGAGGGGCUGCUCCUAGUACGAGAGGACCGGAGUGGACGAACCCCUGGUGUUCCGGUUGUCACGCCAGUGGCAUUGCCGGGUAGCUACGUUCGGAAGCGAUAACCGCUGAAAGCAUCUAAGCGGGAAGCGCGCCUCAAGAUGAGAUCUCCCGGGAGCUUGACUCCCCUAAAGGAACGUUGAAGACUACGACGUUGAUAGGCUGGGUGUGUAAGUGCAGCAAUGCAUUGAGCUUACCAGUACUAAUGAUCCGUGCGGCUUGAUCAA